RNAcentral lists this ribosomal RNA (113 nucleotides) under Acanthosepion pharaonis. The record is from RNAcentral. Lineage: Eukaryota; Metazoa; Mollusca; Cephalopoda; Sepiida; Sepiidae.
UACGGUCAAAUUACGCUGAAACACCGGUUCUCGUAUGAUCACCGAAGUUAAGCAUCGUAGAGCCAGGUCAGUACUUAGAUGGGGGACCGCUUGGGACACCUGGUACUGUAAGC